RNAcentral lists this ribosomal RNA (1023 nucleotides) under uncultured microorganism. RNAcentral describes it as "bacterial SSU rRNA". It matches the Rfam family "Bacterial small subunit ribosomal RNA", at positions 10 to 916 of the family's 1533-position model. The record is from RNAcentral.
AGUUUGAUCAUGGCUCAGGAUGAAUGCUGGCGGCGUGCCUUAGGCAUGCAAGUCAAGGGGACCUAGUUUACUAGGUCACCGGCAGACGGGUGAGUAACGCGUAGGAAUCUACCCCUAGGAUCCGCAUAGCCCUCCGAAAGGAGGGGUAAUUCGGAAUGGUCUCGCAAGAGUAAAGGACUUAACGGUCCACCAAGGGAGGAGCCUGCGUCCUAUCAGCUUGUUGGUGGGGUAAAAGCCUACCAAGGCUAUGACGGGUAGCUGGACUGAGAGGUCGAUCAGCCACAACUGCACUGAAACACGGGCAGUACAUCUACGGAUGGCAGCAACCGGGAAUAUUGCGCAAUGGGGGAAACCCUGACGCAGCGACGCCGCGUGAAGGAAGAAGGUCUAUAGAUUGUAAACUUCUUUUGCCAAGCCGUUCACAGCUUGGAGAAUAAGCCUCUACUAACUACGUGCCAGAAGUCUCGGUAAUACGUAGGAGGCAAGCAUUAUCCGGAUUCAUUGGGCGUAAAGUGUGCGUAGGCGGCGUAGUGUGUCGCAUCUUAAAUACCAAGGCUUAACCUCGGAUAUGGAUGCGAAACUGCUAUGCUAGAGGAUUGUUAGGGAUGCUAGAACAGUUAGUGUAGCAGUGAAAUGCGUUGAUAUUAACUGGAAUACCGAAGGCGAAGGCAGGCAUCUGGAAUUUUCCUGACGCUGAGGCACGAAAGCUAGGGGAGCGAAACAGAUUAGAGACCUGUGUAGUCCUAGCCGUAAACGAUGUCCGCUAGCUAUCACUCACAAAGUGCGUAAGCACUUUGUGGAAAUUCGAAGCACGAAAUCCGAAAUACGAAAUAAAGUAUAAAUUCUAAUAAUAAAAUAUUAAAACAUUUGAUUUUAGAAAUUAAAAUUUGUUUCGAGUUUCGAUAUUAGAAUUUUGAAUUUUCAAAAAGCUUAUGCUUUUUGUGAGUGGUGGUGUAAGCUAACGCGUUAAGCGGACCGCCUGGGGAGUACGGUCGCAAGACUAAAACUCAAAGGAAUUGACGG